This 70-nucleotide transfer RNA is filed under the name Laternula truncata. Its description in RNAcentral is "tRNA-Cys". Lineage: Eukaryota; Metazoa; Mollusca; Bivalvia; Laternulidae. The record is from RNAcentral.
CUCUGUAUAGUUAAAGUAAUAAACGCCACCUUGCAAGUGUGGAAUUCCUCGCAUUGACGUUGUGCAGGGU